GAAACCAGUCUCUCGAGCUGAAAGAAAACGCAGCUGAGGAGAUAUGAGGAAACUUCCACCUACAGUAAGCAGAUGCUGAAGCCCAGAUUUCCAUGCUAAGCACUCCAAGGCUCAUCAUGCUCGGAGAGUCCAAUCUGAGGGCAAAAAAUGGAUGCUUUCCAUCGAGUGCUGAGUUCUCCUCCAAUUGAGUGACGGUUGUGAUUUCACUUCUGCUCUAGCCUUUUUGCGUCAUACUAUGUAUGAGGCAGCCACUACAUUGGAAUUUAUCCAGAGGGUAGAGUCCAGCCCAGGAAGUCAACUAGUUCAUGUCCAGAUUUAAAAGAAUAAUAUUUCAGAAAAAAAAAGGUCUUGGAGAAAAACAAUAUUCAGGUUUGAAAUCCUGCUGUAAAUGUAAAUCAUUUAACUUUUAUGCAUUUGUAAUUUACCAGAAACUUUUUAAUAAAUAUUGAUUGUUUUGUGUGUUCAGAAAAAAAGUGUUUUUGUAUGUUCAGAAAAGUGUUGAAAUUAAAUGAAACAUUCACAGAAAAAUGUUAACAUAUUUAAAAAAAUUUAUAUGUUCAGAAAAGUUUUGAGAUGUUCACAGAAAAAAUGUAACACAAAAAAUGUAUGCUAUGCUAUUUUUAAUUUAUGAAUUUUUGUAAUUUAAAGUGAUAAAAUAAAUGGCAUUUUUGUGACAAA
Misgurnus anguillicaudatus (oriental weatherfish) is the source of this 678-nucleotide non-coding RNA. Lineage: Eukaryota; Metazoa; Chordata; Actinopteri; Cypriniformes; Cobitidae. The record is from RefSeq and is a predicted model, not a curated record.